GGUUGUGGCUUAGUGGUAGAGCAUUGCCUAGCACACAUGAGGCACUGGGUUCAAUCCUCAGCACCA
This 66-nucleotide transfer RNA is filed under the name Marmota monax (woodchuck). Its description in RNAcentral is "tRNA.Ala". Lineage: Eukaryota; Metazoa; Chordata; Mammalia; Rodentia; Sciuridae. The record is from RNAcentral.